This is a non-coding RNA of Macaca mulatta (Rhesus monkey), 429 nucleotides long. Lineage: Eukaryota; Metazoa; Chordata; Mammalia; Primates; Cercopithecidae. The record is from RefSeq and is a predicted model, not a curated record.
GAGUCUCACUCUGUCACCCAGGCUGGAGUGCAGAGGAGCAAUAGUUGCUCACUAUAACCUCAAACUCCUAGGCCUCAGCAAUCCUCUGGCCGCAGCUUCCUGAGUGACUAGGACUACAGAACAUGCCUGCUUCCGCUUUCACCACAAUUAUAGCAGCUGUGGUUCACUUAGCAAUGAGUGGCACAUGCUGAAAAGAAGCCAGUAUGGACACCAAGGAUAAGAAAAACAGGAAGUGGCAGCACAUGGGGCAGAAGAUGGGUGAGAGGAGAACGGUGAAGAGGACGCACAAGUCCCAUAGACAACAGAGGUAAAAAGAAAUAACAGGAGCAAUGGGGGAAAAAAAACUCAUUUGGCAGAUACUUUUCUGUUCCCAGCAUUAGCCAAGCAAUAUGGUUAGGCUUUGUAUACCAACCCAAAUCUCAUCUUGAA